UUGCCACGCCCGCUCAGAAACUUAAAGGAAUUGACGGGGCCCGCACAAGCGGCGGAGCAUGUGGAUUAAUUCGAUGCAACGCGAAGAACCUUACCUGGGUUUGACAUAUACCGGAAAGCUGCAGAGAUGUGGCCCCCCUUGUGGUCGGUAUACAGGUGGUGCAUGGCUGUCGUCAGCUCGUGUCGUGAGAUGUUGGGUUAAGUCCCGCAACGAGCGCAACCCUUGCCUUUAGUUGCCAGCAGUUCGGCUGGGCACUCUAAAGGGACUGCCGGUGUUAAACCGGAGGAAGGUGGGGAUGACGUCAAGUCCUCAUGGCCUUUAUGACCAGGGCUACACACGUACUACAAUGGCCGAUACAAAGGGCAGCGACACUGCGAGGUGAAGCCAAUCCCGUAAAAUCGGUCUCAGUCCGGAUUGGAGUCUGCAACUCGACUCCAUGAAGUUGGAAUCGCUAGUAAUCGUGGAUCAGCAUGCCACGGUGAAUACGUUCCCGGGCCUU
RNAcentral lists this ribosomal RNA (499 nucleotides) under uncultured Desulfobulbus sp. RNAcentral describes it as "bacterial SSU rRNA". It matches the Rfam family "Bacterial small subunit ribosomal RNA", at positions 903 to 1382 of the family's 1533-position model. The record is from RNAcentral. Lineage: Bacteria; Pseudomonadati; Thermodesulfobacteriota; Desulfobulbia; Desulfobulbales; Desulfobulbaceae.